ACGACCUUACUUGAACAGGAUCUGUUCUAUAGGAUCGUACAUCUGUGUCCUUGAGUUGAAAGGAGACAGGAACAAAAGUCUGGUUGAUGAAGCAGGACCAUGUGAUCAGAGCGUGAUUGACAGCCCUGUGGUUCGUUUGGAUCGCAUGGGCGGUAGAGGAUCGUUCUCGGUCAUGUAAUGGCUGGGAUGGUCACAAGGUUAUCUGACAGACU
Molecule: small nucleolar RNA, 212 nt
Organism: Tripterygium wilfordii
Lineage: Eukaryota; Viridiplantae; Streptophyta; Magnoliopsida; Celastrales; Celastraceae
Product: small nucleolar RNA U3
Exons: 1
Source: RefSeq, a predicted model, not a curated record